This is a long non-coding RNA of Salvelinus fontinalis (brook trout), 2557 nucleotides long. RefSeq lists it as uncharacterized. The record is from RefSeq and is a predicted model, not a curated record. NCBI's taxonomy places the organism in Eukaryota, Metazoa, Chordata, Actinopteri, Salmoniformes, Salmonidae. The transcript has 2 exons.
GCAUUUCCAAAUCCCGCGGGAUUACCCAUCAUACCCCCCCAACCUUUCCAUCUGUCCUGACAUAUUUAACCCCUGCUAGUAGCCAUGAGAACCAUAACACACCCACAAACACAGAACACAAUACCGGGUCGUUACAAUAUAUAUAUACAUUUUAUUUGUGUUGUUGUCUAUCACUUGUUUUCUUUGGUGCAAAUAAAUAAAUAAAAUAAUUAAGACCGGGAGAUGUUUUGCACAGGCGAGUGAAUACCAUACCGUAACGUUAGGUCGAGAGCCCUGUUUAACAAGCUGUUGGACUGGUUCAAACCGCUAUUUGGGGAGCGAAAUGGAGGCAAGUGGUGAGGUUGCGGCGAUGGAGGACAUGCAGGGAAGGUUGGAGAAGCAACAGCUGGACGGAAUCAUGGUAGAAGCAGACGUGGUUGGUUGGUUCUGACGGCGCGUUGAGCAAGCUCCGCGAGGGCGAGUGGGAGACCGUGGCAACGAAAAAGAGAGGAGAAAUAACAAAAGCGGUGGCGGCAUGCACCUCUAAAAAAAGAAGAAAGAAAAAAGCAGAAGAAGAAGAAAGGCCGUGUUUAAUGAGGACCACAACACUCUCAUGGCCAUCAACGAGCAGCACACGCUGCGCUGGUGGAAGAAUCACCACAGAACGGGCAUUCCCACUGACUGGUCUCAGUUCCAGGUGCAACACACACACAGCGGGCUAAUGGAAGUUAAUGGGGCCAAAUGGACUGUACUGUAAUAUGGGAUGAUGUAGACUUCAGCCCCUUUGCAAUUGUCAGAGUUAGUCUAAUGUAGUGAACAGUGUUACAAGCUAAUGUAGCACAUUGUGUAACAGUAGUGCUUGGCGCAACAAUGUGACCAUUAUGAGAGACUGCUGGAGGGUAAUAUACUGGGCCAGCCUGCCUUGUUGUUCAAAGGAGUCUAAUGAAACCUCUUUUAGGAGUGGGCACCGGAAAAGAGGGAAGGGAAGAAAGAGCAAAGCACAGCAAAGCACAAUAGAGAUGAUCAUGUCUCCAUCUGUCUUCGUGACCUCAUGCAACAGCACAACUAUCAUUCAGGAGUUACCAUCUCAGUACGACGAAUCAUCAAUUCCUAAGUACUGAUUGGUUUGUUCAUUUUUUGUAAAUAGUGUUAUUGUAUUGUUGAUUUACAGUUACAGUACCAGUCAAAAGUUUGGACACACCUACUCAAGGGUUUUUCUUUAUUUUUGCUAUUUUCUACAUUGUAGAAUAAUAGUGAAUACAUCAAAACGAUGAAACAAAACAUAGGGAAUCAUGUAGUAACCAAAAAAAGUGUUAAACAAAUCAAAAUAUAUUUUAUAUUUGAGAUUCUUAAAACUAGCCACCCUUGCCUUGAUGUUAACAACCCUCCAGACGAGCUUCAAUGCAAUUCAACUCUCCUUCCGUGGCCUCCAAUUGCUCUUAAAUACAAGUAAAACUAAAUGCAUGCUCUUCAACCGAUCGCUGCCCGCACCUGCCCGCCUGUCCAACAUCACUAUUCUGGACGGUUCUGACUUAGAAUAUGUGGACAACUACUAAUACCUAGGUGUCUGGUUAGACUGUAAACUCUCCUUCCAGACUCACAUCAAACAUCUCCAAUCCAAAGUUAAAUCUAGAAUUGGCUUCCUAUUUCGCAACAAAGCAUCCUUCACUCAUGCUGCCAAACAUACCCUUGUAAAACUGACCAUCCUACCGAUCCUCGACUUCGGCGAUGUCAUUUACAAAAUAAUCUCCAAUACCCUACUCAAUAAAUUGGAUGCAGUCUAUCCCAGUGCCAUCCGUUGUCACCAAAGCCCCAUAUACUACCCACCACUGUGACCUGUACGCUCUCGUUGGCUGGCCCUCGCUUCAUACUCGUCACCAAACCUACUGGCUCCAGGUCAUCUACAAGACCCUGCUAGGUAAAGUCCCCCCUUAUCUCAGCUCGCUGGUCACCAUAGCAGCACCCACCUGUAGCACGCGCUCCAGCAAGUAUAUCUCUCUGGUCACCCCCAAAACCAAUUCUUUUUUUGGUCGCCUCUCCUUCCAGUUAUCUGCUGCCAAUAACUGGAACUAACUACAAAAAUCUCUGAAACUGGAAACACUUAUCUCCCUCACUAGCUGCACCAGCUGUCAGAGCAGCUCACAGAUUACUGCACCUGUACAUAGCCCAUCUAUAAUUUAGCCCAAACAACUACCUCUCCCCCCAACUACCUACUGUAUUUAUUUAUUUAUUUUGCUCCUUUGCACCCCAUUAUUUCUAUCUCUACUUUGCACAUUCUUCCACUGCAAAUCUACCAUUCCAGUGUUUUACUUGCUAUAUUGUAUUUACUUUGCCACCAUGGCCUUUUUUUUGCCUUUACCUCCCUUAUCUCACCUCAUUUGCUCACAUUGUAUAUAGACUUAUAUUUCUACUGUAUUAUUGACUGUAUGUUUGUUUUACUCCAUGUGUAACUCUGUGUUGUUGUAUGUGUCGAACUGCUUUGCUUUAUCUUGGCCAGGUCGCAAUUGUAAAUGAGAACUUGUUCUCAACUUGCCUACCUGGUUAAAUAAAGGUGAAAUAAAUAAAUAAAAUAAAAUGA